CCUACGGGCGGCAGCAGUGGGGAAUAUUGGGCAAUGGGCGCAAGCCUGACCCAGCAACGCCGCGUGAAGGAAGAAGGCUUUCGGGUUGUAAACUUCUUUUGACAGGGAAGAGCAGAAGACGGUACCUGUCGAAUAAGCCACGGCUAACUACGUGCCAGCAGCCGCGGUAAUACGUAGGUGGCAAGCGUUGUCCGGAUUUACUGGGGGUAAAGGGCGUGUAGCCGGGCUGACAAGGCAGAUGUGAAAUCCGGGGGCUCAACCCCCGAACUGCAGUUGAAACUGUUGGUCUUGAGUAUCGGAGAGGCAGGCGGAAUUCCUAGUGUAGCGGUGAAAUGCGUAGAUAUUAGGAGGAACACCAGUGGCGAAGGCGGCCUGCUGGACGACAACUGACGGUGAGGCGCGAAAGCGUGGGGAGCAAACAGGAUUAGAUACCCCGGUAGUC
This 442-nucleotide ribosomal RNA is filed under the name uncultured bacterium. Its description in RNAcentral is "partial 16S ribosomal RNA". It matches the Rfam family "Bacterial small subunit ribosomal RNA", at positions 338 to 795 of the family's 1533-position model. The record is from RNAcentral.